Molecule: long non-coding RNA, 386 nt
Organism: Hemiscyllium ocellatum (epaulette shark)
Lineage: Eukaryota; Metazoa; Chordata; Chondrichthyes; Orectolobiformes; Hemiscylliidae
Exons: 3
Source: RefSeq, a predicted model, not a curated record
GAUUCGACCGAAUGUAUUGUUUUGUAGGAGGAGCUUGAUAUUUACAUGGUUAAAAAUACCGUACCAAUGGGAUCGUUAGCGAUUACCUCUGGUUUUGUUGAUGACUAUAUGAGUGUGAGACUUACUAGGACAAGUGUUUCUAACUGGAUGGGGUAUAAUUAAUGUUUCACCAAGCCCAGACCAAAGCUAAAGUGCUCAGAAGUCGUAAUCGGCAGAGAUAUGACUCAGGCUGAGCUUAAUGACCAGAAACUUCUCCAGGAACGCUGAGUUUUGGCCCGCAUUUAUACCUCAAAGCUGUUGGGAAUGGGGUGGAUAUGAGCAUUUAUUGCACUACAUAAUGAAUUGGAUGCCCUGGACAAACCAUUGAUUCCUUAUUCAACAUCAUG